AUGCUUUUAGUGAUUUAUAGAUGAAAACUAUGGGUUUUUUCAUGUCGAAUGUUUAGACAGAAUCACAUGGACUGUUGAUGCAAAUGAUUUAUUAACCUUAUUGAUUACUUUUCCUCCAUUUUACUGAUAGAUGAUGAUAUUGAUGAUGAAGAGUUUUAUGAUGAUCAUUUGGAGGCUUAUUUUGAGCAACUGGCGAUUCCAGGAAUGAUGUAUGAAGACCUAGAAGGACAGGAACCUCCAGAAAAUUAUUUUAAGUUACCUACAAGUGAUCCUAGUCAGGAAAGCAGAAGAGCGGAAGUUCUGGUGAAGACUCUUAGGACUCCUAGUGCCAAACUUAACCCCAUUGACUUUCAUGACACAAAUGCCAAUAAAGAUGAUUUUGAUUUGAUGGAUUCUCUAAAGCUGGAGGAAGGGUCUCUUCAUCAAAAUAAGCAUUUGGCGUCAGACUCAGAAACUGUUUUGCCUGUGGAUAGAUUUUUAGACACUGAGAUGCCUCAAGUGUCCAUUCAAACAAAUGUGGAUGUAGCAUCUUUGAAGCCUGUUAGUGACAAUGCAUUUAAUUCCACUGAUGCUCCAUGGUCACCUACCAGUGAAAGGCAAACCUGCGAAGGUUAUGAGUUGGUUGGAAAGACCAAGGACCGUGAGUGGGCCUUUGUUUCUUUUUUCUUAUUAAAUAAAAAUAAGAAAUAUAUAAAAUACUUAUACGCACUGUAUUUCCAAGUAAAACUUGUGUAAUCUUUCGUAUUACAGUAUAUACAUGUUCUGUGGAUUUAAAUAUGGUGUACUUAUUCACAGAUCUGGUGGAAAAGUGCCUUUGUCAGUGUUUGUUGUCUUCUCCUUCCUCCCUCAUCCUCUGUGACGGAGUUUACUGGAACGAAGGCUGGGUGAUUUCACCGUCAGAGAGAGGCUUUCCUUUUGGGAAAAUGGGUUUCCUAAUUUGGGGCAGAUUUCAAUACCAGUGAUAACUAAGAUAAGUCAGCUAAAUGAAAUCAUUUAAAAAUAUCAUUUUGUUUGUUGUGUGUCAUUGGAUGUGUUUGGAAUUCUCUUUUCUAGAAGCGAACCCACCACAGAGUGUGGUCUAUCAGGAUGAGGAGGGCAGAUGGGUUACUGAUCUCGCCUAUUAUACACCUUUUGAUAAAGAACAAGAUUUCAAUGUGUCACUCAGUAAUGAACUGAGCGAAGACUUCCGAUCUGGCUGUAAGUGUUCUGAUAGCCUCUGCUUUUAAUCGUUUUCAUUGUUUCUGAUGGUCUUCUGAGGUUAGUCUGUCAUCCUGAUCGGCCACAUCAAAUCCCUUUUGGAGGAUGUGCUUAGCUCCUCACUUGUUUCUCCAGGAACAGAGGCUCACGUCCAUCAUUGCUCAUCACUGGGACUGAGCCAAGCUGUCCCUAAUCUAGGACAACAAGUCACUUUAGC
This 1414-nucleotide long non-coding RNA is filed under the name Capra hircus (goat). RNAcentral describes it as "lncRNA (ENSCHIG00000002725.1)". The record is from RNAcentral. Lineage: Eukaryota; Metazoa; Chordata; Mammalia; Artiodactyla; Bovidae.